GGUGGCAGUCUCACAGUUGAAGCAUUAAGGUGUAACAUACAUAUUUGCACAACAGAAUGACUGAAAGCUAUUGAGAUCUGAUUGCAAGCGAGAGUGAAAUGAAAUGUCCCUAUACUGGACACAGAGCUUAACAUCAUCCGCAGAGCGGCCGCGUUAGCUAACAGAGCAAGUAAAUUGAAGUCUCUGCUAUAAUGUUUUUAAUAAGAGCAAUAUGCGUGGGGCCAUUAACAGCUCAGAUUCAUACCCAUCACAAUGAACGAAAGCAGCGAUAUUACUCUCUUGCAUCCAAGCUGUCAACAAUACCUCAUGAACAUUCCUGUCAACUACUGUGCAAAAGCAUUCUUUGCAG
RNAcentral lists this long non-coding RNA (349 nucleotides) under Drosophila guanche. The record is from RNAcentral. Lineage: Eukaryota; Metazoa; Arthropoda; Insecta; Diptera; Drosophilidae.